AUCGAUGAAGAACGCAGCGAAAUGCGAUAAGUAAUGUGAAUUGCAGAAUUCAGUGAAUCAUCGAAUCUUUGAACGCACAUUGCGCCCCCUGGUAUUCCGGGGGGCAUGCCCGUUCGAGCGUCAUUACACCACUCCAGCCUCGCUGGGUAUUGGGCGUCUUCGCGGGGGAGCAAUCCCCCGCGCGCCUCAAAGUCUCCGGCUGAGCGGUCCCGUCUCCCAGCGUUGUGGCAUCACGUCUCGCCGCGGAGUCUCGGGCCCUCACGGCCGUUAAAUCACACCUCAGGUUGACCUCGGAUCGGGUAGGGAUACCCGCUGAACUUAAGCAUAUCAAUAAGCGGAGGAAAAGAAACCAACAGGGAUUGCCCUAGUAACGGCGAGUGAAGCGGCAACAGCUCAAAUUUGAAAUCUGGCCCCCCGGCCCGAGUUGUAAUUUGUAGAGGAUGCUUCUGGGUAGCGACCGGUCUAAGUUCCUUGGAACAGGACGUCAUAGAGGGUGAGAAUCCCGUAUGCGACCGGCCCGCGCCCUCCACGUAGCUCCUUCGACGAGUCGAGUUGUUUGGGAAUGCAGCUCUAAAUGGGAGGUAAAUUUCUUCUAAAGCUAAAUACCGGCCAGAGACCGAUAGCGCACAAGUAGAGUGAUCGAAAGAUGAAAAGCACUUUGGAAAGAGAGUUAAAAAGCACGUGAAAUUGUUGAAAGGGAAGCGCUUACAACCAGACUUUGGGGCGGUGUUCCGCCGGUCUUCUGACCGGUCUACUCUCCGUCCCGAGGCCAACAUCAUCUGGGACCGCCGGACAAGACCUCAGGAAUGUGGCUCCCCUCGGGGAGUGUUAUAGCCUGUGGUGAUGCGGCGCGUCCCGGGUGAGGUCCGCGCUUCGGCAAGGAUGUUGGCGUAAUGGUUGUCAGCGGCCCGUCUUGAAACACGG
This 924-nucleotide ribosomal RNA is filed under the name uncultured Ascomycota. RNAcentral's name for it is "eukaryotic LSU rRNA". The stretch from base 286 to 924 matches the Rfam family "Eukaryotic large subunit ribosomal RNA", at positions 1 to 664 of the family's 3401-position model. The record is from RNAcentral. Lineage: Eukaryota; Fungi; Ascomycota.